AGCUUACCAAUCCCUGUGAUCCUAUUCCUUUUUUUGCAUUCACCUUUCGAGGAUCUUUCAGUUGUACUGUCAACUACAUCUGAUUUCAAAUCAUAGAGGCCAUUGGUUUAGUUGCUUUCCCGAUAGCUGUACCCCUCUUGUGUCCUUGAAUUUUGCAGCCAUUUCAGUUACUCAUUAAGUUCUUACCAAUGGGUUGUGGUUUGAUAUGGCAGGAGAUCUCAAUUGCAGCAAAUAUAGCCUAAAAGGAAAUUGAUAAGUACAUCAAGAUACCUGGAGAAGCCCUUCAGCUAAGUCAACCUAUCAACAACAGUUCCAUAUCGGUCCAAAUGCCGAGGUUUUGCAGUCUCCUCUAGCUAAAUACAUCUGCUUAGACUAGAAUGAGAUUUUUGGGAACUGUUUUUGCAAAGUGAAAUUAUUUCACCACUACUAAGUCUUUGCAUUGUCUGCAGGAAAAAUGGGAAACUUAAUUUGGUUCACACAGCACAAAUCUCUUCUUAGCAAAGAAGGGGACAGCCUGUUCCCCAAUUGCUCUUGGACAAGAGUAUUGGUUGCCCAUUCUUACUAGUGCCAACACCAGGCUAAGCAACAUGGCAAGCACCAGGCUUGUCCUAAGGAUCACAGACAGUAGCUCAACUUGUAGACAUGGAGCUCCAAUGUACUCGGCAUUGUAUAAUGUAGAAAAGAGCAAAAGUUGAUAGAUACAGAGAAAGAAGGCAAAUGUACAAAUGACCCUCCUACAUUAGUGUAUGAAUAUUUGGGAAAUAAUUAUGUUUGAUAUCAAUUUACUGAAUUCAUUUAAUA
Molecule: long non-coding RNA, 801 nt
Organism: Rosa chinensis
Lineage: Eukaryota; Viridiplantae; Streptophyta; Magnoliopsida; Rosales; Rosaceae
Exons: 3
Source: RefSeq, a predicted model, not a curated record